Molecule: ribosomal RNA, 274 nt
Filed under: uncultured bacterium
Lineage: Bacteria
Description: partial 16S ribosomal RNA
Rfam family: Bacterial small subunit ribosomal RNA
Source: RNAcentral
AUACGUAGGAUCCGAGCGUUGUCCGGAUUUACUGGGCGUAAAGGGUGCGUAGGCGGCGUGGUAAGUCUCAUGUGAAAUCUCCCGGCUCAACUGGGAGGGGUCAUGGGAUACUGCCAUGCUCGAGGGCAGUAGAGGAGAGCGGAAUUCCGGGAGUAGCGGUGAUAUGCGUAGAUACCCGGAGGAACACCCGUGGCGAAAGCGGCUCUCUAGGCUGUACCUGACGCUAAGGCACGAAAGCGUGGGGAGCAAACCGGAUUAGAUACCCUAGUAGUCC